This 211-nucleotide long non-coding RNA is filed under the name Panax ginseng (ginseng). Its description in RNAcentral is "long non-coding RNA (PGIN_LNC008444)". Lineage: Eukaryota; Viridiplantae; Streptophyta; Magnoliopsida; Apiales; Araliaceae. The record is from RNAcentral.
UAAGAUUGGACAAGGUAGUCAUGCAGUUGAGGAUGAGCCGCUGGACAAGUAUGUAGUGUGGGCGGAGUUAGUUGCAUUUGAGCCAAUCCAGCAUGUUGCCCAGGAUGAGUCAGAGACUGAGAUGAAUCCCAUAGAGGAUCCUGAUUCUGAGCCAAAGAUGGAACCAUAGGAGGACCCAAUAUCCGAGGAGAUGGGUCCGAUAUAGUAUGAG